GAAAUGGAAUUCUUGUUGGUUUAUGGGUUUUGAUGAUGUCUACCACUUCUUUCUUUAUGCUGAUUUUUGUUUCUGAGGUCUCUCUCCACAAUGAAGCAUCCACAUCAGAAAUAAUAUCUUCAAUAGGAGGCCUCAUGGACUUGGUUAUUUUGUUCAAUAGUGAUUUAAGCCUGAUGAUGAACACUUGGUGUUUGAAAAGCUUUGCACUAAUAAAUAGUAAAAACUGAGAAGCAAGAGUUAUUUCUUCCUAAUCUAACAAACUUCUCGCUAAAAGGUUCUUUUUACCUUUGACAUUAUGGCAUUCGAGCCUAAUGAACCUAAUUCAUUAUUCAACAGAUACCAAAGUCUAAAAACUAAGGUGAAGUUGAUACCUCUUGAUAUUAGUUUUCUUAAACAGUGUAGGGUACACAAUGUUUUCCCUAAGUGUGUGGUGUUUAACAGUAAAGUGAAAACUCCUUCCACAAAAAGGGCUCUAGAGAAAGCCAAAACCUAUUGGUUAAGCUCUGAGCUUCACAGCCUGUAUGCAAAAAGAUCCAGCAUAGAAGUGGAACUAUAUGCACUUCACAAAAAACUAAGCCAGACCAUACCAAAACUGCAGUGGGAUGAAAUGGAAAGAAAGAUGUUCAGAUCAAUUGAGGAGAAAAAGAGAAAGAAAAGAAAUUCACAAAACAAAAAGUUGAAAAAUCUGUUAAAAGAAAAAAGUAACCAUAGUGGUGUUAGCAAUGUUGUUAGUGUCAGUGGCAGUGACAGUAAUGGUGUUAAUGAGACUACUGUGUAUGUGAAAAACCUAACUGAUGUGGUGUUCUCCAAAGAAGAAUUGGAUCUUCUAAACAAGGGUCUAAAAUUCUCUUUACCACCCAUGAGGCCUCCUAUUGAAGAUAUUAUUUCUGAUGUGGAUGCUUCAUUGUGGAGAGAGACCUCAGAAACAAAAAUCAGCAUAAAGAAAGAAGUGGUAGACAUCAUCAAAACCCAUAAACCAACAAGAAUUCCAUUUCAUCCCCACAACAACACCAUCAAAAGCUUGAGACAGAAAGGUGUCUACUAUAUGAAAGCAGACAAGGGAAACACCGUAGUGAUAAUGAAGAAAGAUGAAUACUUGGAAAAGUGUGAAACCCUUCUUAAUGAAGGACCUUAUGAGAAGUUAAAAAGUGAUCCUGUGGAUAAAAUGGUGAAAGAAGUGAAAAGUUUGGUGAAAACUACUCCCUUCCUUAAUAACACUCCUUUUCCUUCCAAUCCUAAAGUUCCUAAAAUGUACUGUCUUCCCAAGAUCCAUAAACCUAACUAUCCUAUGAGACCAAUUGUGGCCAAUAUCAACUCUCCUUCCUAUAACAUUGCCAAAAAACUCCUUUGUAACCUCCAAAACCUUCCUUUUCCUGAAACUCUUCAAGUUAAAAAUAAUUAUGAACUUGCAGAAAAACUGCAAGGGAUUACUAUUAAUGACACAGACAGGCUCAUAUCUUUUGAUGUACAAAAUCUUUUCCCCAGUGUGCCUAUUCCUGAGACUUUAGAAAUGAUAGAAAACUGGCUAAAAGAACAAAAUAUCAACAAAAAAGAAAUAACCCAUUAUAUGAAUACUAUAAAAUUAUGCACUUCCCAAAACAUUUUCCAAAUAAAUGGAACUUACUACAAACAAACAGGAGGCACAGCUAUGGGCAACCCCUUAUCUCCCUUUUUGGCAAAUUUUUUCAUGAGCCACCUUGAGACAAAAUUCAAAAAGAACAAUAAAAACUUUCCCAAAGCAUGGUUUAGAUAUGUUGAUGACAUCCUGUGUAUCAUUCCUGAAGACUUCAACAUUGAGGAAUUCCUCAAUGCUUUAAAUAGUCUCUAUCCUACCAUCAAAUUCACUUAUGAGCUUGAACAACAAAACAAACUCCCUUUUCUGGACAUGUUAAUCAUUAGACAUUCUGACCAUCUUGAAUUUGAUAUCUAUAGAAAACCCACCCACACCAAUAACUACAUUCCUUCAGACUCUUUCCAGCCUUGGAACCAAAAAUUUGCUGCUUUCAACAGCAUGAUACACAGGUGUUUAAAUCUCCCCCUAAAUAAAAAUAACCAAAAUAAAGAAAUAAAAAACAUCAUGUCUAUUGCUUCCAACCUUGGCUACACAAAAACAUCUAUCCAAAAACUUAUAAGAAAACAUGAAAACAAAAAACUAAUCAGAGAUGCCACAACUUUUAUUGCUGAAAAAGAUGAUGUCAAAAGAGUUAGGAUCAGUUACUAUCCCCCUCUCACAAAUAAAAUGAAAACAGUCUUCAGAAAACACAACAUACAACCCAUUUUCACCAAUGAUAACAAAAUUAAAAACCUUCUUGGUAACACUAAAGACAAAGACAAACCUGAAGACUGUAGUGGCAUCUACAAAAUCAAAUGUAAAGAUUGCCAAGGAAUUUAUAUAGGUCAAACCAAAAGAAACAUCAAAAAGAGGUUCAAGGAACAUCUUUAUUAUGCUAAAUACAAAUAUGAAAAUAAGUCUGCUCUCUCAGAUCAUCUCAUUGCCACCAACCACACUACUUCCUUUGAAAACCUGAACCUCAUACAAAAAAUAGAUAAACCAUCUCAAUUAAACAUUAGGGAAGCAAUAGCCAUGAAGAAAAACAAAACAAAUUUACUAAAUAAUGACUUAAAACCCUUAGAAAAUAUCCUACUUUCUGUUAUUAAAACCAAACUUGAAGACAUGACUCCUACCACAUCCUCACCUACAACCACACCCUCUUCCACAUGACCACACCCUUGUACUGCCACACCCUUGUACUGUUAAACUACCACACCCUUGUACACUAGUAUAUAAGCUUGUAGACUUGGUUAUUUUGUUCAAUAGUGAUUUAAGCCUGAUGAUGAACACUUGGUGUUUGAAAAGCUUUGCACUAAUAAAUAGUAAAAACUGAA
This is a long non-coding RNA of Planococcus citri (citrus mealybug), 2886 nucleotides long. RefSeq lists it as uncharacterized. The record is from RefSeq and is a predicted model, not a curated record. NCBI's taxonomy places the organism in Eukaryota, Metazoa, Arthropoda, Insecta, Hemiptera, Pseudococcidae. The transcript has 2 exons.